UUGGCCAUUAGGCAAUGUGGUGUUUAGGUCGUUCCGCAGAGACACUGCUCCUCUCUAAGUCCAUCAAUGAGUACGGUUGUACUAACAUGGCCCAAGGAGGGUGAAAGGCCCGUAAGAGUGGAGUUCUGGUACGACAGUGUCUCUCUGGAUUGACCUUGGAGUCGGGUUGUUUGGGAAUGCAGCCCAAAGCGGGUGGUAAACUCCAUCCAAGGCUAAAUACUAGCACGAGUCCGAUAGCGAACAAGUACCGUGAGGGAAAGUUGAAAAGUACUUUGAAGAGAGAGUAAACAGUGCGUGAAACCGCUUAGAGGUAAACGGGUGGAGUUGAACUGUAAUCUUUGAGAAUUCAGCUGGUGAAUUUGCUUGAGCUUGGUCAAAAUGAGCAGGGCUCCGAGGUAUGCUUACUUGCAUGUCCUGGUCUUCGGAUUGGGAUGCGCGUUGCUCUUAUCAAGGGUUGCGCGCCUCGGGUGUCCAGCUGGCUCUGUCGCCAGUGCACUUUCUCAGAGUGAUCACCACGACCGGCGCUGCUGCUUUUCUGUUAUAGUUAAAUCGGUCAUUCAUCGUCCUUGUGGCGUUGGGUGGUCGACACGGCAGGUAACUGGGGGCAUUCUUCGGUUUGUUGCCCGGUGUAUGCUGGCUUUAACGGUCCUAUGCAGUGUGUCGGAGACGGCGGCUUGUGGUGUGUGCGUGCGUGCCUAUCUGUUGGCAUAUUCUGGUUUGGUGGCUGUGUGCUUGUUCAAGCAGGCCUAGUUAUAGCCGGAGUGUGUCAGUGGGUGGUUGCGUGUGUGACACUGUUCAGGGCCAAUAGUCUG
This 812-nucleotide ribosomal RNA is filed under the name Allocreadium lobatum. RNAcentral's name for it is "eukaryotic LSU rRNA". It matches the Rfam family "Eukaryotic large subunit ribosomal RNA", at positions 129 to 614 of the family's 3401-position model. Lineage: Eukaryota; Metazoa; Platyhelminthes; Trematoda; Plagiorchiida; Allocreadiidae. The record is from RNAcentral.